UACGAGGGGUCCUAGCGUUGUUCGGAAUCAUUGGGCGUAAAGCGGGUGUAGGUGGAUCUUUAAGUCAGAAGUGAAAGCCCCGGGCUUAACCCGGGAAGUGCUUUUGAUACUAUCGAUCUUGAGUGUGGGAGAGGAUGGUAGAAUUCCUGGUGUAGUGGUGAAAUACGUAGAUAUCAGGAGGAAUAUCGGUGGGGAAGCCGGCUAUCUGGCCCAACACUGACACUCAGACCCGAAAGCGUGGGGAGCAAACAGG
This 253-nucleotide unclassified non-coding RNA is filed under the name uncultured Pseudobdellovibrionaceae bacterium. Its description in RNAcentral is "uncultured Bdellovibrionaceae bacterium contains 16S-23S intergenic spacer region". It matches the Rfam family "Bacterial small subunit ribosomal RNA", at positions 524 to 776 of the family's 1533-position model. Lineage: Bacteria; Pseudomonadati; Bdellovibrionota; Bdellovibrionia; Bdellovibrionales; Pseudobdellovibrionaceae. The record is from RNAcentral.